This 446-nucleotide ribosomal RNA is filed under the name uncultured Aeropyrum sp. Its description in RNAcentral is "bacterial SSU rRNA". It matches the Rfam family "Archaeal small subunit ribosomal RNA", at positions 1003 to 1448 of the family's 1478-position model. Lineage: Archaea; Thermoproteati; Thermoproteota; Thermoprotei; Acidilobales; Acidilobaceae. The record is from RNAcentral.
GCCAGCUCGUGCCGUGAGGUGUCCUGUUAAGUCAGGUAACGAGCGAGAUCCCUGCUUUUAGUUGCUACCACUACUCUCAGGAGGAGUGGGGCUAAUUAAAAGGACUGCCGCCGCUAAGGCGGAGGAAGGAGGGGGCUACGGCAGGUCAGUAUGCCCCGAAACCCUCGGGCCACACGCGGGCUGCAAUGGUAAGGACAAUGGGCUCCGAUUCCGAAAGGAGGAGGCAAUCCCUAAACCUUACCUCAGUUAUGAUUGAGGGCUGAAACUCGCCCUCAUGAAUAUGGAAUCCCUAGUAACCGCGUGUCAUUAUCGCGCGGUGAAUACGUCCCUGCUCCUUGCACACACCGCCCGUCGCUUCAUCGAAGUUGGUUCUUGGCGAGGUGGUGCCUCAUUGGCACUAUCGAACCUGGGGUCAGCAACGAGGGAGAAGUCGUAACAAGGUAACC